RNAcentral lists this ribosomal RNA (207 nucleotides) under uncultured bacterium. Its description in RNAcentral is "partial 16S ribosomal RNA". It matches the Rfam family "Bacterial small subunit ribosomal RNA", at positions 568 to 774 of the family's 1533-position model. The record is from RNAcentral.
CACGUAGGCGGCCGUUUAAGUCAUCUGUGAAAGCCCGGGGCUCAACUCCGGGACUGCAGGCGAAACUGGAUGGCUAGAGCUCGGUAGAGGCGAGUGGAAUUCCCGGUGUAGCGGUGGAAUGCGUAGAUAUCGGGAAGAACACCAGUGGCGAAGGCGGCUCGCUGGGCCGAUGCUGACGCUGAGGUGCGAAAGCGUGGGGAGCAAACA